AUGCAAAACCACUCUGGGCCAUGGGGAGCGUGCAGGGUCCCCCAAGCAAAACCUUUCCAGGCCGUGGGGAGCGUGCGGGGUCCCCCAUGCAAAACCACUCUGGGCCAUGGGGAGCGCGCAGGGUCCCCCAUGCAAAAACUCUCUGGGUCGUGGACAGCGUGCGGGGUCCCCCAUGCAAAACCUCUUUGGGUCGUGGGGAGUGCGUGGGGUCCCCCAUGCAAAACUGCUCCAGGCCAUGGGGAGCGCGCAGGGUCCCCCAAGCAAAACCGCUCCGGGUCGUGGGGAGCACGCAGGGUCCCCCAUGCAAAAACUCUCGGUCGUGGAGAGCGUGCGGGGUCCCCCAUGCAAAACCCCUCUGGGUCAUGGAGAGCGUGCGGGGUCCCCCCAGCUCUGCCAUGGGACCGCAGAGCACACGCAGAGCACCUCGUCCCCAGCGGGGACACGUCCCCUCCGCCUCUCACCUCCGAUCCCUUCAAAGCUCGUGGGAGAUGCUCCCGCACGCUCCUCCUGCCCCCGCGACAGCACCAGGUGGAGCUGGAGGAGAACACCACAAGCCACCUCCCUGCUCCAGCAUCCCCGCCACCCUUGGUGGCAGCCUGUGACUGGUSCCAGGGACCCGGUCUUUUAAGGUGCAAUGCGUCCCAACCACCCACCUACCGACGUUUCACACUCUUCACCUCGCAGACAGAACAGACUCCCCCGGCGCGGACCAAAGYGGCGUCCGAGCCGCAGGGAGGGUGCUUGCGGAGAGCGGAGAUGUGUCUGGCGCUGAUUCGGCUCACGAAGGGGAGAGCCCUUGAGCAGAGGAGCRGGGCCGCUGCCAGGGGACCAGGAGCAAAGAGUCCCCGGAGAGACCAGGGCUGGCGGCAGGGCAGACUGGCUCCGGGAGGCUGCAAGCAGGGCAAGACCCGGGCAAAGGCAGCGGGCCCGGAGGAGGCCRUCUCACGACCACCACUCAAGCCAGUGCCAAGCCACCCCUCAACACACCGCUCAGUCGCAUUGCAAUGCCUCCUGCUCCAACGGCAGAGACUUGAAAUGACUCUUUUCCUUUGGAGUCCAGCUGCCAGCCCCUUCUCCUCUCCGUUUCCAAGUCCUUCCACGUGCAAGAUGCCUUCUGUCGGAAUAUCAGCUUUCCUCCUCCAACGCCUACACUCCACAACCAUGAGAGGAACCACUCAACAUCUUUCCCCCAACCUUAGGCAGCACUUGCUAAUUACAAGCUUUCCAGAAUAA
RNAcentral lists this long non-coding RNA (1233 nucleotides) under Apteryx haastii (Great spotted kiwi). RNAcentral describes it as "lncRNA (ENSAHAG00000018801.1)". The record is from RNAcentral. Lineage: Eukaryota; Metazoa; Chordata; Aves; Apterygiformes; Apterygidae.